GACGAACGCUGGCGGCGUGCUUAACACAUGCAAGCCGAACGGGCCUUGUCCCCUUUUUUUUUGGGGGUGGGGUUAGUGGCGAACGGGUGAGUAACACGUGAGUAACCUGCCCCUCACUUCUGGAUAACCGCUUGAAAGGGUGGCUAAUACGGGGUGUUCUGGCCUGCUCGCAUGGGUGGGUUUGGAAAGAUUCGACCGGUUUGGUUGUUUUGGUGGGGGAUGGGCUCGCGGCCUAUCAGCUUGUUGGUGGGGUGAUGGCCUGCCAAGGGUUUGACGGGUAGCCGGCCUGAGAGGGUGGGCGGUCACACUGGGACUGAGACACGGCCCAGACUCCUACGGGAGGCAGCAGUGGGGAAUCUUGCACACUGGGCGCAAGCCUGCUGCAGCGACGCCGCGUGAGGGAUGGAGGCCUUCGGGUUGGGAACCUCUUUCGCCAGUGAAGAAGGUCCUGCUCUUUGUGGUGGGGUUGACGGUAGCGGGGUUAAUGAAGCGCCGGCUAACUACGUG
This 507-nucleotide ribosomal RNA is filed under the name uncultured bacterium. RNAcentral describes it as "partial 16S ribosomal RNA". It matches the Rfam family "Bacterial small subunit ribosomal RNA", at positions 28 to 507 of the family's 1533-position model. The record is from RNAcentral.